AAAAACAAAAACGGAUUUGCAGUACUUCACAAAGUUAGAAAGUGGGGACAGAACAUCUUGGAGAAGACGAUUCAGUAAAAGUUUAAGUAUCUGUCCAUGGGAACCAUUUUUCCUUUAACAUUCUGGCAAAAAGAUUUUCCAGCAAAUGGCCUAAGUAUACAUCUAAUUUAAUUUCUUUCCAAUUGAAGCUUUUGUUUGUUUUCAAUACUUAAUGAGUAUAAAACUAAAUGAAAAAGGCAACCUAAAAUAAUUUAAAUUUAAAAUUCACUCAGCAUUUCAAUAGGACAUUGGGAUUUUCCUGUUGAUAAUAAAUUUAAUCUAGGUGUCAAGUGCAUGGAAACAUGAUUUUGCUUUAAAAAAUAAACAGCCAUGCUUCCUUCUAUUGCACCAUCAGUCAUUUAAUUAUAGAAUAGUAUUUUAUGUAAAUUAAAAUUGGAUGAAUGAAGUAAAAGUAAUGAUUGUGAAAUGGGAGUAUACAACGGUUUAUGUGUGUGAGUAGUUGGAGCAGGGUGACAUCAUUGACGAGAAGUAAUUCAGAAAUUACCUUUUUAUUGGUAUCUUUUGUUAUUGCUGUCUUGAUAGAUCUGCAGCCAAGCCAGUGUGCUUGGAGAUCUCAUACGGCAGCAAGGCGCAUACAGUUCCUCUUCUUCCUUUCCCUUGGAGGUAUUACCUUUGAAUGGGUAAGGACAGGCCUAUUCAGUUCAUGGGUUGUGCACUGCAUAGCUGCACUAACAGCCUUAUCUUGUGAAUACAAUAUCUGUCAGCCAAAAAUAAUCACUGGAGUAAAAAGUAAACAAGGGUGGCUAGAUUGAUUUUUUUACAGUCAAGAAAGCCACAGUUUGACUUUUUAUGGCCAGAAUUCCUUGUUGUUAGCUUUGAUGUUGCUACAUGAUUUGAGUAUAUGUUAGUCUGCAAAGCUAAUCCUGUAACAUCUUUGGGGUAGAUGAUGCUAUAUAGGGCCAGGGAUUUAGCUCAGUGGUGCUGCCGCCUGCCACACAAGCACAAGGUCCCAAGUACUAUCCCCAGUACCAAAAAAAAAGGCUCUAAAAAAUGCUAUAUAAAGGGAGUCUUACAUAGACUUUAUUAGUCCCACAGGUAUGAAGCUGGUACAGUACAUUGCUUUAUAGGAUGGGAAGCAUUCAAGAGAUAAAAAGGUUGAGAAGGGUAAACCUGAGAUUUCAGCAUGUGGUCUUUGAAGUGAAGUGAGAGAAAGAAAGCAUGUGCAGCAACUGAAAUGAGAAAUCAAGAUACUGUUUUAAGCAAGACAUUGCCUGAAUUACAGAUCAUCUGAUCACAGAAUUGUACAUAAUUCUUGAUCCCAUAUGGUUUCAUUUUAUUGUAAAUUUCCAUUUUCAUCAAAACAUAAUGAUAGUAAUGACUAAGUAAAAAGAAAAUGAUGUAUUGCUUUUCGUAUAAGUAUUUUCACAAAAACCAUUUGCCUAGGCAGUUAAAAUAUUACUUUGUUAAAAAAUA
RNAcentral lists this long non-coding RNA (1473 nucleotides) under Heterocephalus glaber (naked mole-rat). RNAcentral describes it as "lncRNA (ENSHGLG00100042543.1)". Lineage: Eukaryota; Metazoa; Chordata; Mammalia; Rodentia; Bathyergidae. The record is from RNAcentral.